UGCUGGCAUGCUAUUAGACUUUCCAGGCUGCUCUCAUUUGUCAGUUUAAGUGCACAACCUAUUCCAUCACCCCAGCUGUUAAUGAUAAUGCUGAAUAGGAUGAGAUGAGCUAAUUUUUAUCAAUGUUUGUCCUAAACCAGCCCUUUGCACUUGCCAGACAGCUGUACUGUGGAGUAAACAGCAGCACGGACUGAGCCACGUGGAGGUGUGGGAGUAGCUUUUGGUUCCAAGUUUGUGCUUCACUGGACCUGACAGAUCAUGCUGCAGGCCACCUCUGCCUUACACUGAACCUCCCUUGGCCAGGCUGGAGAGAGGCUCCCUUUUUGCCCUUAUCAAUCACUUUUCUCAGUCCAGAUGUCUUCACUUUCAUCUCUAGUUGCCUGCAUCGCUGAGCACAUGUGUAGGUGUGUGUGAGAGGAGAGGAUUAUUUUCUUCAGUCAGGUUUUACAUCAUGAAGGAAGAACUUCCUUGACCUUGCUUGGUGGUUUCCUUCAGUGAAGUCCUGCAUUUCUUGUGGCUCAACUGAAUUUUAAGGUGAUUUGUGUAAAGCCUGACAAAUGACAUCUGGCUGAACAGGCUAUCCAUCCUAUCACCCACAUCCUACAUCUGCAUUUUUUUAUGUGCAAACUACUCUUAAGUGACUGGAACAGCUGAAACCAGCACACAGACACCACUAAGCAGAAAAAGUCUUGCAGAGAGCAAAUGAUCCAGGGUCACAAAGGUCCUGUAGUUUUGUUUGCAGUGAAACUGAGCAUUAACUUUUUUUUCAGAAAGGGCUGGCAGGCAGAAAAGAAGUGUAUGCUAGUUACAUGUUACUUCAUUGUGUGUUAAGCUGAUGACCAGAUAGAAUUGAGUAACAUUUGUCAAUAAAUGAGAGUGAAACUUUUGUGCAAAGAGAUAAAAUUAAGAAAUUAUUCUGAAUUAAAUACUCGGAAAACCAGCAUGAGAGGUUCAUGAUGCUUUUAGUUCUUUACUUAAUCUGUGUACAUUUUUUGAAAUUAUAUAUAUUACUUGAAAUCUCUUUGAAUAAGCACUAUUUAGUCUGCCAUAAAAACAUGUUUUUCCACUUCCC
Cyanistes caeruleus (blue tit) is the source of this 1072-nucleotide non-coding RNA. The record is from RefSeq and is a predicted model, not a curated record. NCBI's taxonomy places the organism in Eukaryota, Metazoa, Chordata, Aves, Passeriformes, Paridae.